RNAcentral lists this ribosomal RNA (254 nucleotides) under uncultured bacterium. Its description in RNAcentral is "partial 16S ribosomal RNA". It matches the Rfam family "Bacterial small subunit ribosomal RNA", at positions 524 to 776 of the family's 1533-position model. The record is from RNAcentral.
GACGUAGGGCGCGAGCGUUGUCCGGAUUUAUUGGGCGUAAAGAGCUCGUAGGCGGUGUGUCACGUCGGCCGUGAAAACCUGCAGCUUAACUGUGGGCGUGCGGUCGAUACGGGCAUCACUGGAGUUCGGCAGGGGAGACUGGAAUUCCUGGUGUAGCGGUGAAAUGCGCAGAUAUCAGGAGGAACACCGGUGGCGAAGGCGGGUCUCUGGGCCGAUACUGACGCUGAGGAGCGAAAGCCAGGGGAGCAAACGGG